UUCUCCUUUCUUCUUUUCUCUUUCCCGCUCCCCCCUCCUUCGCUCCCUUUCUUCUCUCUUUCCCCCGCCUUUUUUGCCCCCUCCUUUUUUUCUUUCCCCCACCCUCACCUCCUCUGCCCCUCUCUUCUUCCCCUCCUCUUAGACAACAUGUAAAAGCUACCAAACAUGCAAAAUCUCUGGCUUCGAGUCCAACCAUUAGAGACGCGGAUCUAGGCCCCAUGGUCGCGCGAGCGUCUGAUCUGGCCACCAUGAUCGUCGUCUGUCAUCGUCUAUUUGGCCUCCAUCCCUC
Molecule: long non-coding RNA, 289 nt
Filed under: Glycine max (soybean)
Lineage: Eukaryota; Viridiplantae; Streptophyta; Magnoliopsida; Fabales; Fabaceae
Description: long non-coding RNA (GMAX_LNC000192)
Source: RNAcentral